This 440-nucleotide ribosomal RNA is filed under the name uncultured bacterium. RNAcentral describes it as "partial 16S ribosomal RNA". It matches the Rfam family "Bacterial small subunit ribosomal RNA", at positions 338 to 795 of the family's 1533-position model. The record is from RNAcentral.
CCUACGGGAGGCAGCAGUGGGGAAUAUUGCACAAUGGGGGAAACCCUGAUGCAGCGACGCCGCGUGAGUGAAGAAGUAUCUCGGUACGUAAAGCUCUAUCAGCAGGGAAGAAAAUGACGGUACCUGACUAAGAAGCCCCGGCUAACUACGUGCCAGCAGCCGAGGUAAUACGUUGGGGACAAGCGUUAUCCGGAUUUACUGGGGGUAAAGGGAGCGUAGACGGCAGCACAAGUCUGGAGUGAAAUCCCGGGGCUUAACCCCGGGACUGCUUUGGAAACUGUGCGGCUGGAGUGCAGGAGGGGUAAGCGGAAUUCCUAGUGAAGCGGUGAAAUGCGUAGAUAUUAGGAGGAACACCGGUGGCGAAGGCGGCUUACUGGACUGUAACUGACGUUGAGGCUCGAAAGCGUGGGGAGCAAACAGGAUUAGAUACCCGAGUAGUC